ACGUAGGAGGCGAGCGUUAUCCGGAUUCACUGGGCGUAAAGCGCGUGCAGGCGGCUCGGUAAGUUGGGCGUGAAAUCUCCUGGCUUAACUAGGAGAGGUCGUUCAAUACUACCGGGCUUGAGAGUGGUAGAGGAAGAUGGAAUUCCAGGUGUAGUGGUGAAAUGCGUAGAUAUCUGGAGGAACACCAGUGGCGAAAGCGAUCUUCUGGACCAUUUCUGACGCUCAGACGCGAAAGCUAGGGUAGUAAACGGGAUUAGAGACCCCGGUAAUCCUAGCCGUAAACGAUGUAAACUUGGCGUCGGUGGCUUAAACUCCAUCGGUGCCGUAGCUAACGCGAUAAGUUUACCGCCUGGGGACUACGAUCGCAAGAUUA
RNAcentral lists this ribosomal RNA (373 nucleotides) under uncultured bacterium. RNAcentral describes it as "bacterial SSU rRNA". It matches the Rfam family "Bacterial small subunit ribosomal RNA", at positions 525 to 896 of the family's 1533-position model. The record is from RNAcentral.